AAAAAGUAUCCACACUCUUCUUCUUCCCUCCUACGCUCAUUGCCCAACCUUCACUCGAGCCUACUUAAAAAAGCAAACCUACAAUAAAGACGUUAAAGAAUUAUACGCCAGAGUUUGUGAAAGAAUAGAAAAUAAAAGGGCGGGUGGUGCACUGAGGAAUAGAAAAAACCCCACGCAGCGACGCCUCGCCUUUCCAUCCACUCCCCAUCAUCCCUCAACCAAUCCUGGGGAAAAAAUAAACUAAAAGCUAAAAGAAUGGACGUCGAACCCUAGCCUCCUCCCUCUCCCUCUCUCUCUCUCUCUCUCUCUCUCUC
RNAcentral lists this long non-coding RNA (314 nucleotides) under Elaeis guineensis (African oil palm). RNAcentral describes it as "long non-coding RNA (EGUI_LNC013601)". Lineage: Eukaryota; Viridiplantae; Streptophyta; Magnoliopsida; Arecales; Arecaceae. The record is from RNAcentral.